Molecule: long non-coding RNA, 329 nt
Filed under: Cyanistes caeruleus (blue tit)
Lineage: Eukaryota; Metazoa; Chordata; Aves; Passeriformes; Paridae
Description: lncRNA (ENSCCEG00000001533.1)
Source: RNAcentral
CUACAAUUUUCUGAGAUGAGUAUUCUAUCUACUCCACUCUUUCUCAAAUCAGCCAUGCUGAGAUGUGCCUGUCUCCAUUAUUGCCCAGAAAAAUGUCACUAAUGGCAUGAAUUAGCAUGUUCUCUUAACUUGAAGAAUAUUACAUCUGCUCUUCCAGGGCAUUCUGAAGAGAAAUCUGACAAUGUCAUACUCAGGAACAGAUUGGCACAAGGGCAAAGUCCUUGUGUCAACUCUCUACUAAUUAGUGUCACCGUAUCAAGACUGAAGAUUCAGCAAAGAUGGGAGGAAGAGCUGAAGGAGGCCUGGGUCACCCUCAAUAUGUUGAAGAG